This 609-nucleotide ribosomal RNA is filed under the name uncultured archaeon. RNAcentral's name for it is "bacterial SSU rRNA". It matches the Rfam family "Archaeal small subunit ribosomal RNA", at positions 319 to 928 of the family's 1478-position model. The record is from RNAcentral.
GGCCCUACGGGGUGCAGCAGGCGCGAAAACUUUACAAUGCUGGCAACAGCGAUAAGGGAACCUCGAGUGCCAGGUUACAAAUCUGGCUGUCGAGAUGCCUAAAAAGCAUUUCAUAGCAAGGGCCGGGCAAGACCGGUGCCAGCCGCCGCGGUAACACCGGCGGCUCGAGUGGUAACCGUUAUUAUUGGGUCUAAAGGGUCUGUAGCCGGCCGGAUAAGUCUCUUGAGAAAUCUGGCAGCUUAACUGUCAGGCUUUCAGGAGAUACUGUCUGGCUCGAGGCCGGGAGAGGUGAGAGGUACUUCAGGGGUAGGGGUGAAAUCUUGUAAUCCUUGAAGGACCACCAGUGGCGAAGGCGUCUCACCAGAACGGACCUGACGGCAAGGGACGAAAGCUAGGGGCACGAACCGGAUUAGAUACCCGGGUAGUCCUAGCCGUAAACGAUACUCGCUAGGUGUCGGCCACGGUGCGACCGUUGUCGGUGCCGUAGGGAAGCCGUGAAGCGAGCCACCUGGGAAGUACGGCCGCAAGGCUGAAACUUAAAGGAAUUGGCGGGGGAGCACCACAACGGGUGGAGCUUGCGGUUUAAUUGGAUUCAACGCCGGAAAUCUU